This 1196-nucleotide long non-coding RNA is filed under the name Triticum aestivum (bread wheat). RNAcentral's name for it is "long non-coding RNA (TAES_LNC017016)". Lineage: Eukaryota; Viridiplantae; Streptophyta; Magnoliopsida; Poales; Poaceae. The record is from RNAcentral.
GGCCGCAUCCCCUUCCUGGCGUCGGCCGGCGUAGCUCUCUCUUCCACUUCUGCGCCCACCUCCUCCCAGCCAGGCGCUCCAAUCAUGGCGCGGAGGCCGGAUCGAGCCCAUAUGGCGUGGCGGCGACCGAAUUCACAACGGUGAUGACACCUAGCGGUCCCCGCUGGCCCAACCAAGUUCGUUUUCCUCUCCCCAUCCUCUCCCGCGAGCACCCUCGAUUUCGUCUCGCCGGUCCAGGCCACUCGCAGCAGCCGGCCACCUGUAGCAACUAGCAACUCCAUGGCUGUCGCCGCCUUCUAGGUUGUGGCGGAGCCCCGCUCCAGCACACAACGCAUGCCGAUUCACUUACGUUCCUUUACGGAACCAUCGCCAGCCUGCCGGAAGGGAGCCGGUGCCAAGGGCUGCAGAGUGGGCACCGUACUGGCCCUUGCCAUCCCCUCCCACUGACAAGCCUUUCCAUGUUUUAUCCCCAUUACCAUUGAAGAGGACAGAUCAUAGGAUACCGCUGCUGGGAGCCUGGGACAUGUACUAUCAUGACAAUGUCAGGCGAACCUUCAUCUCUGGGCGUGAGAUGCAUCUGCAUUUCCCAAAAAUUGAUACCGUGGACAAGAUCAGGUGGAUUAUUGUAACUGCUCUUAUAUCUUGGUUGAUAUUUUCCAUUUUUAAAUUAGCGACGACGAGCAAGAAGGUGAUUUUGAUGUGAAAACAAAUAGAAGGAAACACUCCUAUAUGUAGCAACCAUAAUUUAUUAUUUAUAGUUAGGCACAACUGAAGUCUUGAGUGUUCAACCCAUGGAUAAGCUUUUUUCAGCUCUCAUCUCUAUAUGGAUAUGCUUUUUUCAGGUUAGUGAUUCAGGAGUUCCUGCCAAGACUGGCUUUUGGAAGUUAUGCUUGCUUCACCAGUUGGGUUUAACAAGGACAUAAUCAAUUCUCUGUUGGUAAUUAGAAGAAAAAAUCUGGUUCAAGAAAACUUCUCUUUUGCUUAUUUGUUUGUUUCUGAAUUUUACUAAUAUUUUUUCAUUUUCUUUUUUUCAGGUUAGUAGUACGAGAGUUCCUGUCAAGAAUGACUUUUGGAAGUAUUAGAAAAUUUAUUUUGGUACUUGCGAUUAGUAUUACACAGAUGGGUGAUGCACACAUACUUCACCCGGUGUAUCUGUUCAUGUAUGUUGUUAUUAGCUAAGUAGACAAAAUUCCUCU